AGGCAGACUCUCAACCACUGCGCCACCAGGGGAGCCCACAACUGUAUUUUUGACACCGUCUGCCCCAAUCUGUUUUGUUUGUUGGUUGUUUAAUUAAUUCCUUUAGCACGUAAUUCUUGAAGUCCUUUUGUGUCCAAGGCAAUAUGAGGGAGGGGACACAAAGCUGGCUGUGACCUGGCUCCUGGUGGGUUUGAUGACCUGGAUGCAAGGAGCAAGGUGAGGAGUGCCGCUCAACCAGAGAACAUUCUGGGGGUGCUGGGAUGGCAGAGGGCACUUGUUCUUAGUAUUUUGAAUGGGACUGUUUUACUGAUUUCCUUUUCAGAUAGUCAUUAUCAGUGUACUGAAAUGCAACUGAUUUCAGGAAGCGCUGUGUCUGCGGCUGUUUCCUUCCGCACCCCAGGGGCGGUGGCUCAGGAGUCAGCCUUCCCCAACAUGAAGUCCAGGCUUGGAUGCUUUGAGCCAAUUCUGCUCAAGCUGUUGGUCACCUCCAUCAAACACUCAGGGGACUGCCUUUUGCCCCUGGAUGGAUCAUCUCUGCUCUGAUGAUUCUGGCAUCAGCCUGAGAGCCAGCAGGGGAGCUGGCUUUCAACAGAGGCCUCUGGAACCUCAUGCUUUUUAGAUGUUCAGUUGAAAUCAGGAGCUUUAUGACUCUUCCUUUAUUCAGAAGCCCAUCAAAGCCAAUGUGGGAGCUGCUGUGGAUUCAGCAUCACACCAGCAUGGCCCUUCAGCCCCACCACGUUCCACUCUGUCCUCACUCUCUUUCCAAGGGAAUUUUCUUGCUUCUGCAGACCCUGCCUGGGUGGGGCAGAAAAAGCCCUGGGAGGCAGAAGAUCCAGGACCACUUUCCUGACUGUCACUCAGCCACAUGCUUCGCAUGAGUUACACUAGGACUCUCUUAGGCCUCAGUUGUCUGAGCUGUAAAAUGGAGAUCAUAAUGCCCCCUUACGGAUUCACCAUGUGGGUUACAUGAGAAACCCGGCACCUGCCACAGUCUGCCACACGGUGGUAUUUCAUGAACGUGUGGAAGGGUGAAUGUCUGCAGAAGAGGCAAGAGGAUGGAGAGUGUCGGAAAAAGAGUGAUGGUGAUGACGUGCCUGAGAGCCCAGUCCCUGGAUGGACAGGCAGACCAAUGCCCCAGCCACUGAAACUGACCCUUGUGCAAUAGGAAGACUGGGCUGGAAAAGCAAAAGUCAUCAGGAGAAGUAGGCGCCAUGAGCUGAAGGAGGAGGCCACUUGGAUGACAACAACAGGGUACGAGCCAUCCAAGAUCAGAGGUUAAGUCCAUCCUUCUAUGGCUAAGACUAGACCCACCGAAGGGAAUGCUGUCCCAGUCAAAAUCGAUAAUAAAGAAAAACCACCCCAUGGUGACAGAUGGUAACUAGACUUAUCAUGGUGGUCAUUUUGUA
Molecule: long non-coding RNA, 1406 nt
Organism: Aethalodelphis obliquidens (Pacific white-sided dolphin)
Lineage: Eukaryota; Metazoa; Chordata; Mammalia; Artiodactyla; Delphinidae
Exons: 3
Source: RefSeq, a predicted model, not a curated record